This 81-nucleotide transfer RNA is filed under the name Schistocephalus solidus. It matches the Rfam family "tRNA". From Rfam's summary of the family: Transfer RNA (tRNA) molecules are approximately 80 nucleotides in length. Their secondary structure includes four short double-helical elements and three loops (D, anti-codon, and T loops). The record is from Rfam by way of RNAcentral. Lineage: Eukaryota; Metazoa; Platyhelminthes; Cestoda; Diphyllobothriidea; Diphyllobothriidae.
GGCCUCGUUGCUCAGAUAGCUAGUGCUUUGACUACUAAAAACUUCCCCUUCAUGGCGUGGGUUCGAAUCCCACCGAAGCCG